This is a microRNA precursor of Oryza sativa Indica Group (long-grained rice), 179 nucleotides long. It matches the Rfam family "MIR812 microRNA precursor family". The record is from Rfam. Lineage: Eukaryota; Viridiplantae; Streptophyta; Magnoliopsida; Poales; Poaceae.
UUUAACUACAACUAUAAGUUUCCGCGCCCAACUUUAAUCGUCUAUUUUAUUUAUUUAUUUUUAUAAUUAUGAGUUGAUAAAAUAUGAAUAAUACUUUAUACGUAACUUAUGUUUUUAAUCUCUUUUCAAAUAAGACAGGCAGUUAAAGUUGUGCACGGAAAAUUAUGGCUACACUUAAA